Long non-coding RNA from Limanda limanda (common dab), 929 nucleotides. RefSeq lists it as uncharacterized. The transcript is spliced from 3 exons. NCBI's taxonomy places the organism in Eukaryota, Metazoa, Chordata, Actinopteri, Pleuronectiformes, Pleuronectidae. The record is from RefSeq and is a predicted model, not a curated record.
UUUUAUUUCACUUUUUUGUUUGUUUUUGUUCAUCAUUUAUUCAUUUCGCAUGGUUACACUGAUGUUUGUGUGAUAUAAUUGAAGACCACUAAGUGCUUUACAGUACAGCUUUGUCAUUCACCCAUUGACACACACAUUUAUCUCGAAAUCAAUCGAAAAUAAAAAUUAACAAACAUUAUUUAUUCAUCUUUUUAAUAAUAUGUAGUUUAAAAAGUGUAUUCAACACUUGAAUGGUUGAAUACACUUUUAUUAAUUAAACUGAAUUUUCAAUUUUGUAUUAUCAUUAUUCUGUAGUACAUAUAUGUCUUUAAAGUGAAAUUCUUUUUUUGUUUUUUCAUAGAACCACAUACAGAGGAGACAUUUCCUCAUACCGAAAGGGAUGAAAUGCUGCCACAACCACCCAAGAGACAAAAUCCACACUCAUCAAGUGAUGAGGUACCUUCAGAAUCCUGCAGAAUGAGGCCUUCCUCAAUAGCACCACCAGCAGAGGAGUCACUUCCUCCCACUGAGAGGAAUGAAAUGCAGCCACAACCACCCAAUAAACCAAAACCAGUCAGUACGAUGAGGCCUUCCUCAAAAGGUACAACUGCCCAAAAGAAGAAAACACCCUGGAAGCAGACAGAGGUGGAGGCAGUGGAAAGCCACAUGAAUCGAUUCAUCACAUCUUGUAUUGUUCCAGCAAAGUUUGACUGUGAGAAGUGUAUAAGAGCUGAACCAGAAGCUCUUAAUGACCGGAGCUGGCAGAAUGUGAAAUUCUACAUAUAUAACCGCAUUACAGCCAACAAGAGGAAAUUUAGUUAAUAAUAGGAAGAUUACCACCUAUCUGGUAUGGCAGAUACUAACUUGGUCUACUGAAAAUGUUUAUUUACUAUGACUAAGGCAUUUAAAAAAAAUGUAUUUUAUUGUUCUGUUCUGAAGUGCCAAUAAUA